UGGGAGUUCUGGUUGAUGAUAAGCUCAACAGAAGGCAAUAAUAUAAUCCAAGAUGCCAAAUAAACCAACACAAUUCUAGGUUGCAUUAGGACAUGAGAGAAUCAUGGGUAGACAUCGGCUCCAUCCAUCCCACAUGCUAGUAAGUGGACCUCGGCUCCAUCCACUCUACAGGCCAGUAAGUGGACAUCUGCUCCAUCCACUCUACAUGCCAGUAAGUGGACAUCUGCUCCAUCCAUCCCACAUGCUAGUAAGUGGACAUCUGCUCCAUCCACUCUACAUGCUAGUAAGUGGACACCUGCCCCAUCCAUCCCACAUGCUAGUAAGUGGACACCGGCUCCGUCCAUCCCACAUGCUAGUAAGUGGACACCGGCUCCGUCCAUCCCACAUGCUAGUAAGUGGACAUCAGCUCCAUCCAUCCCACAUGCUAGUAAGUGGACAUCAGCUCCAUCCAUCCCACAUGCUAGUAAGUGGACAUCUGCUCCGUCCACUCUACGUGCUAGUAAGCGGACAUCUGCUCCAUCCACUUUACAUGCUAGUAAGUGGACAUCGGCUCCAUCCAUCCCACAUGCUAAUAAGUGGACAUCUGCUCCAUCCACUCUACAUGCCAGUAAGUGGACAUCGGCUCCAUUCAUCCCACAUGCUAGUAAGCAGACAUCUGCUCCAUCCACUCUACAUGCCACUAAGUGGACACCUGCUCCAUCCAUCCCACAUGCUAGUAAUAAGUGGACAUCUGCUCCAUCCAUCCCACAUGCUAGUAAGUGGACAUCUGCUCCAUCCACUCUACAUGCUAGUAAGUCCAGUCCUAGAAUGUCACAGACUCUUGAGUUGAAAGAAAACUUAAAAUUUUGUCUAGUCCAACCCUCUACCCAACAAUCUAAUUUCAUCUACAACAUCCCCGAAGUAAUUGCCCAGAGACGAUUACCUCCAGUGACAGGGAGCUCCGUGCUCAGUGUUCUAAUACAGGAGACCACUAAUUCUUUGAAAGUUUUUAACACUUACCAAACACCCUUCCCUU
This 1015-nucleotide long non-coding RNA is filed under the name Homo sapiens (human). RNAcentral's name for it is "non-protein coding lnc-FAT2-2:1". Lineage: Eukaryota; Metazoa; Chordata; Mammalia; Primates; Hominidae. The record is from RNAcentral.